This 488-nucleotide ribosomal RNA is filed under the name uncultured bacterium. RNAcentral describes it as "bacterial SSU rRNA". It matches the Rfam family "Bacterial small subunit ribosomal RNA", at positions 28 to 507 of the family's 1533-position model. The record is from RNAcentral.
GACGAACGCUGGCGGCGUGGAUUAGGCAUGCAAGUCGAACGGUAUGGACCUUUCGGGGUUCAGAGAGUGGCGAACGGGUGAGUAACACGUAGGUUAUCUACCCUCAAGACGGGGACAACCCAGGGAAACUUGGGCUAAUACCGGAUGUGAGCAACUUUUAGUUGUUUGAAAGGUGGCGUAAGCUGUCGCUUGGGGAUGAGCCUGCGUCCUAUUAGUUAGUUGGUGAGGUAACGGCUCACCUAGGCAAUGAUAGGUAGGCGGCCUUAACGGGUGGUCGCCCACACUGGGAUUGAGAUACGGCCCAGACUCCUACGGGAGGCAGCAGUCGAGAAUAGUCUACAAUGGUCGGAAGACUGAUAGUGCGACGCCGCGUGAACGAUGAAUCCCUUCGGGUGUAAAGUUCUUUUAUAUGUGAGCAGUGCUUCUUAUAUUAACAGUAUGGGGAGAGAGAUAUUAGCAUAUGAAUAAGCAACGGACUAACUACCGUG